RNAcentral lists this ribosomal RNA (657 nucleotides) under Pustula tragopogonis. RNAcentral's name for it is "LSU rRNA". It matches the Rfam family "Eukaryotic large subunit ribosomal RNA", at positions 82 to 637 of the family's 3401-position model. The record is from RNAcentral. Lineage: Eukaryota; Oomycota; Peronosporomycetes; Albuginales; Albuginaceae.
AGUAACGGCGAGUGAAGCGGGAAGAGCUCAAGCUUAAAAUCUCCUUGCAGUCUCUGCUCGGCGAAUUGUAGUCUAUUGAGACGUAGUCAGCGCGCAGGAUCCGGUCAAGUUCCUUGGAAGAGGACAGCAUGGAGGGUUACACUCCCGUCUCUGCCGGCAAAUGCACGCGUACGACGCGUCUUCUUUGAGUCGCGUUGUUUGGGAAUGCAGCGCAAAGCAGGUGGUAAAUUCCAUCUAAAGCUAAAUACCUGUGCGAGACCGAUAGCGAACAAGUACCGUGAGGGAAAGAUGAAAAGAACUUUGAAAAGAGAGUUAAAGAGUACCUGAAACUGCUGAAAGGGAAGCGAAUCGCGUCCGCUGUCCAUCCGUGGUGAACCGCUUCGGCGAUUCCCGCGGAGGAGUCAAAGUCAGUUUGGUGUCGAAGGUAAAGUCGACUGUGCGCGUAGCAUGGCUGACUUUCGGGUCCGGGCCCUACGAGAAACGUUGUGCGUAGCCUCGACGAGGACUGAGGCGAUAACAGCAACCGCGUGUGCUCCGUAAGUUUGUGCGGAGAUCGGAUAGGCAGGCCCUACCUCCUGGCGAGAUGCUCCACUAUACAUGAGCCGCAUGUACGCGAGCGGAUGCGCACGCACGCUGUUCGGGACUUUGAUAGAAUGG